GACGAACGCUGGCGGCGUGCUUAACACAUGCAAGUCGAACGGAAAGGCCCUGCUUUCGUGGGGUGCUCGAGUGGCGAACGGGGGAGUAACACGUGAGUAACCUGCCCUUGACUUUGGGAUAACUUCAGGAAACUGGGGCUAAUACCGGAUAGGAGAUCCUGCUGCAUGGAGGGGGUUGGAAAGUUUCGGCGGUUGGGGAUGGACUCGCGGCUUAUCAGCUUGUUGGUGGGGUAGUGGCUUACCAAGGCUUGGACGGGUAGCCGGCCUGAGAGGGUGACCGGCCACAUUGGUCCUGCGGGAGGGCCCAGACUCCUACGGGAGGCAGCAGGGGGGAAUAUUGCACAAUGGGCGGAAGCCUGAUGCGGCAACGCCGCGUUCGUGAUGACGUCCUUCGGGUUGUAAACCGCUUUCGCCUGUGACGAAGCGUGAGUGACGGUAAUGGGUAAAGAAGCACCGGCUAACUACGUG
Molecule: ribosomal RNA, 468 nt
Filed under: uncultured bacterium
Lineage: Bacteria
Description: partial 16S ribosomal RNA
Rfam family: Bacterial small subunit ribosomal RNA
Source: RNAcentral